RNAcentral lists this ribosomal RNA (255 nucleotides) under uncultured bacterium. RNAcentral's name for it is "partial 16S ribosomal RNA". It matches the Rfam family "Bacterial small subunit ribosomal RNA", at positions 524 to 776 of the family's 1533-position model. The record is from RNAcentral.
UACGUAGGGUGCAAGCGUUAUCCGGAAUUAUUGGGCGUAAAGAGCUCGUAGGCGGUUUGUCGCGUCUGCUGUGAAAACUGGAGGCUCAACCUCCAGCCUGCAGUGGGUACGGGCAGACUAGAGUGCGGUAGGGGGAGAUUGGAAUUCCUGGUGUAGCGGUGGAAUGCGCAGAUAUCAGGAGGAACACCGAUGGCGAAGGCAGAUCUCUGGGCCGUAACUGACGCUGAGGAGCGAAAAGCAUGGGGAGCGAACAGG